RNAcentral lists this ribosomal RNA (534 nucleotides) under Staphylococcus aureus. Its description in RNAcentral is "bacterial SSU rRNA". It matches the Rfam family "Bacterial small subunit ribosomal RNA", at positions 1001 to 1533 of the family's 1533-position model. The record is from RNAcentral. Lineage: Bacteria; Bacillati; Bacillota; Bacilli; Caryophanales; Staphylococcaceae.
UAGAGAUAGAGCCUUCCCCUUCGGGGGACAAAGUGACAGGUGGUGCAUGGUUGUCGUCAGCUCGUGUCGUGAGAUGUUGGGUUAAGUCCCGCAACGAGCGCAACCCUUAAGCUUAGUUGCCAUCAUUAAGUUGGGCACUCUAAGUUGACUGCCGGUGACAAACCGGAGGAAGGUGGGGAUGACGUCAAAUCAUCAUGCCCCUUAUGAUUUGGGCUACACACGUGCUACAAUGGACAAUACAAAGGGCAGCGAAACCGCGAGGUCAAGCAAAUCCCAUAAAGUUGUUCUCAGUUCGGAUUGUAGUCUGCAACUCGACUACAUGAAGCUGGAAUCGCUAGUAAUCGUAGAUCAGCAUGCUACGGUGAAUACGUUCCCGGGUCUUGUACACACCGCCCGUCACACCACGAGAGUUUGUAACACCCGAAGCCGGUGGAGUAACCUUUUAGGAGCUAGCCGUCGAAGGUGGGACAAAUGAUUGGGGUGAAGUCGUAACAAGGUAGCCGUAUCGGAAGGUGCGGCUGGAUCACCUCCUUU